GCUCAGGAUGAACGCUGGCGGCGUGCUUAACACAUGCAAGUCGAACGAAGAUACUUAAAAUGAGAGCUUCGGCAGGAUUUUUAUUUAUCUUAGUGGCGGACGGGUGAGUAACGUGUGGGCAACCUGCCCUAUACUGGGGAAUAAUCACUGGAAACGGUGACUAGUACCGCAUGUCAUCACGGAAGGGCAUCCUUCUGUAAGAAAAGGAGUAAUUCGGUAUAGGAUGGGCCCGCAUCUGAUUAGCUAGUUGGUGAGAUAACAGCCCACCAAGGCGACGAUCAGUAGCCGACCUGAGAGGGUGAUCGGCCACAUUGGGACUGAGACACGGCCCAAACUCCUACGGGAGGCAGCAGUA
RNAcentral lists this ribosomal RNA (355 nucleotides) under uncultured bacterium. RNAcentral's name for it is "bacterial SSU rRNA". It matches the Rfam family "Bacterial small subunit ribosomal RNA", at positions 22 to 356 of the family's 1533-position model. The record is from RNAcentral.